AACGAACGCUGGCGGCAUGCCUAACACAUGCAAGUCGAACGAGACCUUCGGGUCUAGUGGCGCACGGGUGCGUAACACGUGGGAAUUUGCCUCGGGGUAUGGAAUAACUCAGGGAAACUUGAGCUAAUACCAUAUAAUGUCUUCGGACCAAAGAUUUAUCGCCCUGAGAUAAGCCCGCGUAGGAUUAGCUAGUUGGUGGGGUAAAGGCUCACCAAGGCGACGAUCCUUAGCUGGUCUGAGAGGAUGAUCAGCCACACUGGGACUGAGACACGGCCCAGACUCCUACGGGAGGCAGCAGUGGGGAAUUUUGGACAAUGGGCGCAAGCCUGAUCCGGCAAUGCCGCGUGCAGGAUGAA
RNAcentral lists this ribosomal RNA (356 nucleotides) under uncultured bacterium. RNAcentral's name for it is "bacterial SSU rRNA". It matches the Rfam family "Bacterial small subunit ribosomal RNA", at positions 29 to 412 of the family's 1533-position model. The record is from RNAcentral.